CAAAGGGUACACCGCAAGGGCGGAGGCGGAAGUUAGAUACGCGCGCUAUCUAGCGCGAGAGAGGAGGGAGCGUUGGAGGAACCGGAUGAAGACCAGUUUCAUUGUGAUUAUGCUCAUCGUGAUGACCUCAGCUCUCUUCUAUGUGAUGGUAGUUUAGAUGGUCGAUAUCGACUUGUAAUGUGAAGACAAACUCGCUACUCGCGGUCUCGAGACUUGUAAUGUUCUAACUUUGUUCGGUAUUUUAAAUUCGGAGACUAAUAUGAUGAAUUGUUUUCGGAGACUAAUCUUCUAUUGUAUUCGAUAAAUCUGUUGUUUAUAUGUUGUGCUCUUUAUAUUCU
RNAcentral lists this long non-coding RNA (338 nucleotides) under Hordeum vulgare. RNAcentral describes it as "long non-coding RNA (HVUL_LNC011844)". Lineage: Eukaryota; Viridiplantae; Streptophyta; Magnoliopsida; Poales; Poaceae. The record is from RNAcentral.